CACGAGUCUCACGAGCUCUGAGGCUAGAGCCAGACUCAGGACAGGCAGCACUUUUUGAAGGCCUGGGUCCUCAGACCUCACCAGCACUUCAGAAGGAGCAGAGAGAACACGGACCAGCUGCCCGAGAGGCAAGGAGGACAGUUGGGGACCCGGGCCCUGCAGAGGCCUGCUAAGGACCCUUCACCACAGUGACCUGUGCCUGAGGAGGCUCCAGGGACCCACUGCUGGCUUCUAAAGCAUCAGCUUCUUACUUGCAGUGACCUUCCGAGUGUGCCGCCUGCCCCGGUUAAUAGCCUUAAGAGCCUUCCUUUGCUGCACUGCUUAAAACUAUUUUAUUCGUUUACAUAGAAAGUUGCUUAUUUUACUUAGCUUUCUAAUAAUCUGAGACCUGCGGCCUCUAGUUUACAACUUGAUCCAUUUUUAACCACCUUAAUCUCCUUCCUGUCGUCGUCUAGAAUUUUCCCCUUAGCUUUUCGUCUUCCAUCUGUAAAAUUUCCCUCGUUCCUUUUGGUGUGACUUACAAAUCCUUUUAGUUUCCUGAAGCUGACACCCUUUUAUCAUCCACAUCUUAAUUUUUACUUCCCUGAAUACAUUUAUUCAUAAAAACAAAUUACUACCCUUUAACAUCUCCUUCUUACAUUUUGUUCGUCUUAAUCUCUUUACUUGUCGUUGUUCCUUUUAGUUUCUUAGUUGGGUUAAUAUCUGCUUUCUCUUUUAGCUCUGGCUUGUAAGAGACAGCCAAGAUGUGUGUGUGUCCCGGGCGAGAGGAUGGGGAGGGAGUGCAGGCCGGGAGUGAGGGCCGGGGCCAGGGAUCUCUAGCUGCAGCCAACUGCGCUCUGGCUCCCCUUUGCACAGCUUCCAUCCUCUUAGCCACAGUCUCAAUCUAUGAGGACCGAGGUGCUGGUGCUGCUCCCCAGGGCAAUGACUUAACCCGGCAGGCGGUACACUUGAAUGCAUUCAUUUAACAGAUACCUGGUGCCGCUGUGGGAACAAGGUGCCUCCCUCCCUGGCUUGUUCUGGUGGUGGCCGGACAAAAGCAAGCCUCCAGAGGUGAUGGGAGCCAGAAAGGACCUUUAAUAAAAUUUAAUAAAACAUGAGGCACAGGCCAAAGAAAGAAGUGAGUUGCAGGAGGUUAGUGGGCUUAGCAGAGAAGAUGGAAGAGCCCGAUCCUGAUUUCUCUCUCUCUAAAGACAGGCGGAGUCCCUUCUGCAUCAGCUGAUGGUGCCUGGGGACAGAAAGCCAGGGAAGGUCUGAGGCAGGAGGCCUCAAGGACUUUGCAAGGAGCCUUGCACUUUGUGCUUCUGUGAUAAACACUCAUAACCAUUUACUUCCCUUUGCUCUUCUGUUGUUUGUCUCUUUGGUUCCAUGGGACUUCUGGAAAUAAAAAUUGUUGGAAAAUUCCAUUUGGAAAGAAUUACCAGAAUGGUGUUGAUGUGCCACUUGUAUACUAACCACUUCCCCUUGUCAGGCACGAAAACAUGAAAAUCACGUACAAACAAACACAAGAAAGGGUCUGUGCCUCCCGGAGUGAUUGGACGGUGGGCAGGCCGUGGACGGCCCCUGCUUCCCUAGGAUGAGAGGUGGCCAUGUUCUGCCCUCUCCUCUCAUGGGGAGGUCAGCGCAGCGAUCCUGCAAGAACAGGAAGGGACACGAGACUGCACGAGGUUGGAGCAGCCAUAAAGCAGAAAGCUUCUCUCUCUUUGUGGGCACGUGCUGUAGGUUGGUCAGUGUGGAGAAGCCCCAAGAGCGUCGUAACUAUUCAGCAAGCUUCGCAGACCAGUGAGCAUCCUUGGCCAUCCCAGGAGUCUCCCUCUGCCUGCAGGACCCCCGGAGCCUUAGCUGGGCAGGAAUGUAUUCCUGGAAGUCUACCUUUAGAUCCUUGGUUAGGGCUACAAAGUCAAGCAAGGGUCUGUCUACAUGAGGGCCCCAGUGGGCAAACAAGGCAAGAUGUCCUCCAAGUGGGCAAGGCCUGCCACAACCUGGGAAGCCAGCCGGCCGCCGGAAUCUAGCUGGAUCCCCUUCUUCGGCAAAAAUGUCAGACAAGGCUGGCCAGGCCAGCGGGCGACUCCAGGCUUGGGCUGGGAGGGAACAGGCUUGUCAGAGGGGGAAGGUCAGAAGACAAGCAGGGAGCAAUGAUGACAGGCCCCUGUGAAGUGCACAGGGAGGCCCGGCCCCUUGCAGGGCCCAGGACAGAACUCAUGAGGGGGACGCUCCACCCGGACCUCCGGGCAGUGCCUCUGGUUUGACUUUAGGAAGAGGCCCAGGGCUAAGUCUUCCGUGAGGUCUCCAGGAAAGAAGGCCAUAUAGAGGAUGCAGAGGCACAGCCCCGAGACCUUUUCUGAAGGGGCCCUGCCUCCUCUCCCUCCUUGCAAGGCCACUAGAGGGUCCUUAUGGGGUGGGGGCUUCUGCAGAGGAUGGGGGAGAAGUCAGGUGGGGCUCUCCCUCUUGCUUCAGCAUUCACACCAAUACUGGACCCCGUGGCUGGCCCCUCUGGAAUGCUCAGAGCCUUGGAGAAAUGGGCUCCUGCGGCAUCUUCCCAUCCUAAGUCUCACCUCUUCUUGCAAGGGCGUCACACUUCCGGUGGCCUCCCAAUUGCCUUUUCUCAGUUGGUCCCAUUACAUGCACAUUUAGCUUAAGCAAAUUCAACCGUAGGUGCUCAGAGAAAACUUUAAAUGAAAAACAAUGUAAAUAAAGUGUGUGGUUCUGCCAGCCCUUCCCCGCAAUAAGCAUAUGCCCCAGAGAGCGGAUCUGCCAACGUUUGCAUCCAGUUCUGAGCCUCUCCGAGGUGUGAGCAUCUCGCACACCAGUGUUUAGAGUGACAAUACAUCUUUUUUCAUACAACAUGACCUCGAAACGCAAGCCAAGCCGAUUGCUUCCUCUGGUGCUCAGCCACAGGGACGGCCAUCUGUCCCAAUGCUGCAGGAAAACUGGCUGUGUGGUGUUUACAAGAGGCUGUAUUUCAGACGCCAGACUCCCAUCUCCCUGGAGAAGUCUUUUUUCCCAAGGUAAUUUUGGUUAGACUCGAUUUUCUCCUUAAUGUUGACUUGAGAAUCUACCUAACUGCCGUCUGAAAUGCUACUCCACUCUGGCUCUCUUCCUACUAAGCUGCGAGCUCCUUGAAAGGUGGGCCAUGUCUGCUUCAUGUUUCCAAUCCCAGCACAUGCCUGGCACACAGUAGACAUGGCAUCAUGCAGGAAUGAAGAGGCCAGAGCCUCCCCGAGGAUGGGUUCCUGGCCAUUCUCACUCAUUUCCCUAAGGAUGGGCAGAUUGAGAUCUCCGAGGAUGAUUUGAUUCCACUUCAGAUCGGGAUGAAGAUGAUGCAGCACCUAUCUAUCUCUGCUGUUUUCACCCACGAUACCUUCUCAUCUUUCUUUGGAGGGUCUCUGACAAUUUUCUUUUGGUGGCAAAUGCUGAACGGCUGACACACACAGGGACUGCUCCAUGCUGUCAACUCCAGCUUUUCGUAAGAACUGCCCCGGCACAUAGUAGGCAGCACCAAGUUGGGACGAAUGAAAUAAGAACUUGAGGGAGAACACCUGGGGCUGUUCGCGUUCACAAACCCCUUGGGACUUCAGACUGAUUCUGAAGACCACCAGGAGAGAAUUUCUAAAUGAAGAAAGGCAACAUUGGGCUUAUUAAAAAGCCUCCUCCUUGCAGAGUAGAAGGAUCCUUCUAUCUCACCAGAAAAUGUGCCAUUUCAGAAGAAAGCUAAGUUGUUUUUCCUAUGAUGACAAAAUGAAAUGUUCCUUUGUCAAGAAGGAGCAAGCCUCAGAAAAGAGAGCCCCUCCCUGCCCAGCCGUGAGGAGCGAUUUUGCUACAAUAUCUGUCCAUUUUAAGAUCAAUACAAAUUAUUCACGUGAUUUGAGAGCAGCGGUGGAAGGCAAUUCUUCUGGGGAGAGAUUUCCAGAUUGUGUUUUAAGUCCUGGAGGCUGUUUCCCAAGACAGAACUGGACCUUCUCAAUGACUGCGACCUCGUUAUUCUGGAAUAACAUGUUAUUAUGGGACAUCAUUAUGCUUCAUCCUGACCCCAUGAAGUUUAUGAGACAGGCCCAAUUAUUGAGCCAUAUGGCAAAGAGAUAUUUGGGAGCAGCAGCCCAAAGCUACUGGAGGAGAGGAGAAGGGAGGAGGAAGCGUCUGGGCAUGCGAGCAGCAGGAGGUGAGGUUACAGAGCUGUCGAAAUCUCUCCUGCCUGGACCAAAGGAGAGUGACAAAUGCAGCAGAAUGUCAGGCCGGGAGGCAGAAAGGGAGUGUUCCUGACAGUGGCUCCACGGAGUAGCCAGCACAUGCCGAACCACAGCCUCUCUGCGGAGGCAGAUGGAGCACAGGUGAGAAAUAUAAAUGAAUGCACAAUCUGGACCCCUGGGAAACUGUUUCACACCUACGGAGGACCCCGCAUCAUUUGGGCCAAAAAAGCAACAUCUCGUUUAUCUGAAAGCCAUUUAGAUGGCAAUCUCAAAAUCUAGAAAGGCAGUUAAAAUGUUCUCUGAGGAGUUAAAAAAUGUCACCAAAUCUGUGCACAGAAAUCCAUGUACAUUGCUCUUCAGGGCCUAUUUACUUUUCCUUUACACAGAAUUCCACUAAAUUUGGUUGCCCGGGCUGGGAGUGGUGGCUCCCGCCUGCAAUCCCAGCACUUUGGGAGGCGGAGGUGGGAGGAUCACAUGAGAU
Molecule: non-coding RNA, 4665 nt
Organism: Macaca mulatta (Rhesus monkey)
Lineage: Eukaryota; Metazoa; Chordata; Mammalia; Primates; Cercopithecidae
Source: RefSeq, a predicted model, not a curated record